Long non-coding RNA from Anthonomus grandis grandis, 815 nucleotides. RefSeq lists it as uncharacterized. The record is from RefSeq and is a predicted model, not a curated record. NCBI's taxonomy places the organism in Eukaryota, Metazoa, Arthropoda, Insecta, Coleoptera, Curculionidae. The transcript is spliced from 5 exons.
UAUACUUAAAAAACCAUUUAUUAUUCAUGCGUAUUAUUUUGGAAAACAAAGAUUUUUGAAAAAAAUGUCUUACUGGCAGUUGAGAAAUAAGGACUGUCCCUACGUGAGGUAACAACUGAAGCAGUCUUUCAAUAAAUUUGACAUUAAUUGAUCAUCAACUGCCUGGAAUUGAAGACACAACGUUUUUCCAGGCAGUUCUUCAAGAAAAUCAACAGUCAUUUUGUAUUGCCAAUCAUAUACUUAAAAAACCAUUUAUUAUUCAUGCGUAUUAUUUUGGAAAACAAAGAUUUUUGAAAACAAUUUCUUACUGAAAAUAAUUGACUGAGAAAUAAAUGCUUUUUAAGAAAAUUAUAGAUGAAAGCAGUUGAGAGAUUAAGACCGUCCCUACAUUAGAUAACAACUGAAGAAGUUUUUCAAUAAAUUUGACAUUAUUUGAUCAUCAACUGCCUGGAAUUAAAGACACAAUUUUUUUCCAGGCAGUUCUUUAAGGCAAUUGAGAAAUAAUAACUGUCCUUACAUGAGGUAACAACUGAAGCAGUCUUUCAAUAAAUUUGACAUCAUUUGAUCAUCAAGUCCCUGGAAUUGAAGACAUAACGUUUUUUCAGGCAGUUCUUUAAAGUAAUCAACAGUCAUUUUGUAUUGACAAUCACAUAUUUAAAAAAGCUCUAGAUAUCAGGCAAUUGAGAAAUUAAAAAUUGUCUUUACAUGAGGUAACAACUGAAGCAGUCUUUCAAUAAAUUUGACACCAUUUGAUCAUCAACUGCCUAGCAUUGAAAAGACAGCGUUUUUCCAGGUUCUUUUAAUGUAAUCAAUCG